CCAGGGAGAGAAAGGAAAGGGAAGAGAGUAUGAAAGAAAGAGAGAGUGAAGAUGGAGAGAGAGGGCUAAGGAGGGCCGAUGCACUGCAAUGAUCAGUGGACCUCACAGUGGAGGAUAUCACAACGUCUCUAAUUGAAACAUCCCUUUAGGGCCUCCUGUGGGGGUCCUGUUUUGUAAAACCACCUUUAACACACUUGUCCUCACUCAGGACUUGUUGUAGAAGCAGUGGCGACGCUAGUUGGGGGGUCAUGACAGGACUAAGACCCCUUUGGAAACUUACUCAGCCCCUUCAUCCUCCACCCAAAGACCUUUUUUCUAUAAGGAAAUAAAGGUUUGAGCUGAUAAAAAGACAACAGUAACUCAAGUAACCACUCGUUACAACCGAGGUAUGCUAAAGAGCAUCUCUGAAAGCACAACAUGUCCAACCUUGAGGCAGAUGGGCUACAGCAGCAGAAGACCACACUGGGUGCCACUCCUGUCAGCUGAGAACAGAAAACUAAGGCUACAGUUUACAUAA
This 517-nucleotide long non-coding RNA is filed under the name Danio rerio (zebrafish). RNAcentral describes it as "lncRNA si:dkey-88n2.1 (ENSDARG00000105197.2)". The record is from RNAcentral. Lineage: Eukaryota; Metazoa; Chordata; Actinopteri; Cypriniformes; Danionidae.